RNAcentral lists this small RNA (180 nucleotides) under Cervus elaphus hippelaphus. The record is from RNAcentral. Lineage: Eukaryota; Metazoa; Chordata; Mammalia; Artiodactyla; Cervidae.
GCCAGGAACACUGAUGCAGACCUGCAGUCCCAGCUACGCCAGAGGCUGAGCAGGAUGGUUCCAGUCCAGGAGUUCUGACUGGAGCUGCACCAGGCUGACUGGGUGUCUGACUAAGUUGGUGGCAGUAUGGUGAUGUCCCAGGAGUGGUGAAUUGGCCCAAGCUGAAAAUGGAGCAGGUCA